CGGAUGUAGCCAAGGG
This 16-nucleotide transfer RNA is filed under the name Rhodamnia rubescens. RNAcentral's name for it is "partial tRNA-His". Lineage: Eukaryota; Viridiplantae; Streptophyta; Magnoliopsida; Myrtales; Myrtaceae. The record is from RNAcentral.